UGAAGUAUAAGAAUAUAAGAGUGUAGCAGAAUAGAGUGUAAGCAGAGUGAAAUGGAAUGAAAGAGUGCAAUGAAAUAUAAGAGUUGAUCCACAAUAAUAUUAGGGUGAACUACGUCCAUAGAGAACUUUUUCAUAAAAUCUUAGUAAUUUAGGGCAAAAAUUAUCAUUCCCAAUCCCCAACUUUAAUCCCAAGCCCACUUACCAAAUAUAGAACUUAUUUGAGAAUUAAAUUAUCAUUCCCAAUUUUCCACCUCAUAAUCCGCAUACCAAACACCUCGACUCCUGAGUAAUUUGAUUAGAUCAUUCAUUUGUAAUACAUGGAGAUUGAAAGAACAAACCCUUGAUAAGGAGCUGAGUUGAACAAAUAGAGUGAAGUUUAAGGAGGCGCAGGCUACCUCCAGCAGAUUUUUCAGUGUAUAUUUUCAGAUUUCUCAGGCGAACACCAGCGUUUACUAGCAUAAUCAUUUGAGACGCGCUAUUAUUUGAAACCAUCCGUUAAAAGUUGAACAAACUAGUGAUGUUCAUUUGUUCUAUUUUCUAUUCACACUAUCCGUUUAAGAAGGUUGGCUCAGAUAGUACAGCCAACAGCACUGAGGAUUCAACUAAACUGGAGCAAGAAAGACAAUGUCAAGACCUUGAGGGAUCUAUGCAGCUUGCUGAGCAACCAUCUAAUGAAGCUAACAAAACUCAACUUGUUACUGAUGAUGAGUUGAUUAAUGGGAAGAUAGGUGGGCUGUGCAGUACCAAGACUACCAAAUCACAAGAUCGAAGAUACUACCAAGGGCACAUCAGCUACCUUACUGCAGUGGUCAAUCACUAGCCAAGCUUGUGAUCAUUUAGUUCAGCCCGCCCAUUAGUACCUCAUGUUCGUUUAAAUAACCGGUUGUUCCCGUCUCCUUUACAUUUUACCGUUGGCUACCAAAGCCUAUAUAUAUAGGCCAAUUUGUCAUUUUAAACACUAGUUUUUGAUUCUCAAUAAAAUUCUAAGAAUUUGUCUUUCCUUUCAAAGAGUGUGAGUAAAACAUUCUUUUCUGAUUUUGUGAGUAAAGCAAGAUCAACACCUUCAUUUGAUUAAGGAGGAAGUCUCAAUCAAAUCAAGGAGAAUUGAUUGUCUUGGUGAGUAAAGCCAAUACAAGCCAAUACAGGAUAUUCAUUCUAUCCAGUUCUUCAUAAGGCUGUUAACAUAAGUGAAAAUUGGUGUCUAUGUAAGUUCUUGAACAUCACAUUAUGAAAUGUGAGGACGGGAUUUUGAAGAAUCUGUGACAACCAGGAUUAAACACACCCAAUUUUAGUCCUUUAAUUACUCGUGCUAACAUGAGCUAUUUAAUAAUCACUAUAUGUAAGAUGUAUGUAUGUAAUAGUAGUUGAUUACCCGUGUUAAACACGAUAUACAAAUAUUUAUUUUAUCAAAAAUUGAAUAAAAUAUAAAUACUCCAACAUAUGUAAUGGAGUACAUACACAAGAUACAUGCUUAUUUUGCUUCGUAGACCAAGCAACUUAUACAAAUGAAAAUAAAGAGCACUUGUAAGAUAAGGAAAAUAUAUUCUUGAAUAACCCAAAACACGAAGCUUCUCUCUCCUUUUGACAUUCGAACAUAAAUUCAAUUUCUUAUCAAUUUUCAACUUAUCUUUUAAUCAAAUCUCUCCUUGAGAUACUUAAACUCCUAUAUCAUCUGUAGUUCUUAACAAUUCUAAUUCUUCAAAUUCAACUAUACUUAUAAUAUACUCCCUUUAUUUACCCAAUUUAAUUUUUAACAUAUUUUUAUAAUAUUCAUAAUUUAAAUCAUUUCAAAUAUAUAAAUUACAUCAUAAUCAAUUGUGAUCUUAAUUGAUUCAUUACAGUGCAAUUUAUUAAUAUCAACUUUUUAUAAUUUUUAAUUAUGCACAAUAAAAAGAAUUAGGACAUCGAUUAAUAUAUUUGAAAAUGUGCACAAACCAAGUGAAGACAAAGAUAGUAAAGUCAUCAUAUCAUAUCAUACAAUAUACUAAAGAAACAUCUCUUAAUUUUAAAUGACACUUUUCAAUCAUGAGUACUUGGCGAAAUAUAAUUAAUUUAAAGAAAGUUACCCAUUUCAUUUUUAAUAAUAAUAAGUUUAUUUAUUUUUAUUUGACAUCUUUUGUCUUUGCUUCGCAAUAUAAAACAACUAUUUUUGCAAUUAGCCACUUACUCGAUAAAGUUAUUUAUCAACCUCAUUUUGUAAACAUUUUAGUAUAUAGAAUGAUGACUAAUAAUAUAAUAUACAAUAUAAUAAAGAGGCAUACUCAAUUUAGAGCUAGAAAAUGUCACACUAAUUUGUAUUAAUAUAUAGAAGAUAAAUUUUAAAUAGAAAAUUUGUUUUCAAUCUUACUAAAAUCACAUAUAAGAUUCCAAUGCAUAUAAAAGGAAGAAAAUUUGUUUUCAAUCUUACUAAAAUCACAUAUAAUAUUUCAACACAUAUAAAGAUAUAAAUCUCCUUAAUCUUAAAUAGGCAAAAUUGAUAGUCAAACUUAUUGCAAUUGUAUGCAUUAAUGUAUAGUAAUCUUGUCAUGAAAGUUACAAUAAAGUUAUAAGAAAGUAUAUGUGAGAAGCUAAUUUGAGUGGAAAAAGUUUUUACCAGAGGAUGACACGUGUUAUUAGGUGGUCUUUGCUUCAGUAUAUAGAAUGAUGAUUUUAAUUUUUUUGCGAAAACUAUCUUAUAUGACCCAAACGUACAAAACACUUUCAGGUGACGGAAUCCGUUUGUUGACCGUUAUGUUUUUUUUUACCAAAACACGUUUUUUGCACGUGAUGUUACUAAAUGUUCCUUUUCCUCCAUAUUUGUUCUAUUUUUCCCUCUAAUUUCCUGUUCUUCCCCCUUUUCCCUUCCACUAUGUUAUUUGGACUCGGGUAAAGAUAUCAGAUAUGGGUGUGGUUAGUAUUUAUGAAAUUACAGCUAUGUUCUCAAGCCAAACUUUUCCAUGUCUAUUGAUGUUUAACUAGGUACUCUUACAAGAGUUCUAAAAUUGAAGAGAAAAUAAAGCAGCCAUGCAUAGAGAAAGAAAACUCUGAGCUUCAUUGUGAAACUAAUAUUUGAGGAGCUUUCUAUUGUUUGCAAGUAACACAAUAACACCCAUGUACUCGAGCAGAAAUUUUUCCUAUAAUAAUGUCUAAUUAAAAAAUAUUUCCCAAUCCACAUCAAAUGAGAAAUUAUUUCCGUCAGUACUGUCCAUGUAGGACUGGUGAGAAAAAAAAUUUCUUUUUCCUUUUUUUUUUUUUUUAUAAAACCGCUACUUGGAAAAGCGGUUUGUUUAGGAAUCAUAAUAAAACAGCUACUUGAAAAAGCGGUUUGUAGUACACAAAUUUUUUUUACAAAAAAAAAUAUAUUAUUUAGGUAAACCGCCAUCUGAAGUGGCGGUUUUAGUGUUGUAUAAAACUGUCUGUUGCCUUCAUUUUCACUCCAAUUCAUUUGUUCCCCACUUGCUUCUGCCGGUUCUCUUAAAAAAAAAUCUACUCUCCACAUUUACUUCAUAUUCACAAUUCCUCUCCUUCAACUAAAUCAAUCAACUACAUUGCCAUCUUCUUCUUCAUUACUUGUUCAUUAUCAUCUUCAUUUAAGGUAUGAACAUUACCCUAAAUUUUUUCAAAAUGCAAAUUGAUUUUUUUGUUCAUAAUUGUUGUGAUUUGAACUUAUGAUACGUCGAUUUGAAGUUGUUCAUGAUUUAUGCUUGUAUUUUACACAUUUCUAGUUGAAUUUUAUGAUUUGUUUUGUAUGCAUAUAAAGUGUUCGAUAAAAUGCUACAAUGAAAUUUUACUACUUUGUAGGCUUAGUUUAAUGGAGUUAGUAUAUAUUCAUGGUAUUGUUAGUUUUAUAUUUGGAAUUGACCCUUCUAAUAAGUGUUGUAAUACUUUAUUAUUAUACAUUCUUGUAUACAAAUUUAUACUUACUUUCCUUACUCACAAUGAACAAUAAAGUGUAUGUGAAAUCACAUGAAAAACAUGCUUGUGUGUGUAGAAUAUGGAUCAUUAUCCCGUUAUAGUGUAUUGGGGAGGGGAAGUUAGUUAUACGGGAUCCGAUAUUGUGUAUAAGGGAGGAUUGAAUGCACUGAUGUUUAUCCAUCGUCAAAAUACUACUUUUAAGGUGUUUUAUAGCAAAGUUUAUGAUGUAAUUGGUUGUGAUCGCAACUCUAUAUUAAAAAUAGAGAUGAAAUAUCCGGUGACUGGGAAUAAUGUGUUACUCACGGUUAAGAAUGAUGAAAGUAUAAGUGCUCUUACUUAUGCGGCAUCACAAGCCCCUAGAACGGCAAAGGAGGUUUAUGUUGAAAUGGUUGCGAAUUUGGAUAAUGCGAGGGAAGUCAUGACUAGCGUGGAACUUCCAGAAUCAGGUCCUAGUGUACGCCAUGAUACAUUCACAGAAAUGUUAACAAACCCAAAACGUUAAUGAGCACUUAGAUGAGUUGAAUUCUCCAACUCAUUCACGUGCCAUUGGUUGUGGUGCAAUGAACACGUUCUCCACGACUCACUUGGGUAGGUGUAAUGCCAACGAGGUUGAGUCUUUAGAUCAGGAGGAUGAGCAUAUUGAUUCUGAUUCAGAGGAGGAUGAUGAAAAAAGAGAAGCUCUAGAUGUAGUGAUUAGAGAUGGUGUUCCAUCUCAAGACUAGCUAAAAAUUGAUGAGGUUGAUCAAAGAUUGAUUGAUGCAUGGAUGCAGUUAUUGGUCAUGGAGAGAGAGAGUGGUUAGCCUUGGUUUGGGAGUUGUUAGGGGUAUGGCCGGAAAACCCUCAAGACCCUACAGAGACAAAGAUCAUCAUUGGAUCUUCAUUGAAGCUGACUUGGCUUCGGGAUCGCUUUCGUGUGCUGGGGCCAGAUGCAGAUGAGGUUACUAUUGAGAGGCAUGCCCGCGCAUAUAUUUUGUAUUUUUUGGUUGCAUCUUGUUCCCAGACAAAAGCAAGGACUCCGUACAGUUGAUCUACCUCCCCUUAUUGCGAGACUUACGACGCGUAGCAGAUUACAGUUGGGGGAGCGCGACCCUAGCAUACUUGUAUCGUAACCUGUUUAGGGCAUUCCGUAAGGGUGCCAAGGCCAUAGCGGGGUGCCUUUUACUCUUACAGAUAUGGUCGUGGGAGCAUAUACAUAUAGGGAGGCAAGUAAUUCGGAUGGUUCGACCCCAAUUUGAUGACGUAGCCGAUCCCAAUGUAGAUCCGGUCUUAGGUUCACAGCAUCAACGUGGUAUGGAUCCUUUAGUAGUAAGCUGGCUUCAAGUACAUCUUUUCCGGUCACACUCUCCACAUACUCUAGUCUACUACCGAGACUCCCUGGAUCGACAAAGGGACGAUCAAUGACAUGGCAGCCAUACACGGUGGCUAAGAUGGAGGCUUUGCCUGACAUAUGUAGAGAUAGCCAAGUGAUAUGGCGAUCCCGGUGUCCUCUAAUUUGCUUUUGACAUAGUAGAGUUUCAUUUUCCGGAUCGUGUCAUGCGCCAGUUCAGAUUGGAGCAGCCUCUUCUGGAUGCUUGUGACACCCAAGGUAACUUCCUUGUUCGACAUCGAUCGCACGUUGAUGCACGAAAUGCUCGAGAAAGCGUGAUGGUGCAAGGAGAGAACUACACAGGUCAGAGCUUGGGUAUGUACAUGGCGUGGUACAGGCAGAUCACGAUAUUGCGCCUCACGAACCCUACAUUUGCACAGCCAUCAUCGCACUAUCAUCCUACUGCUACAAUAUUGGCUGAGCGCAUAAGAUCAGUUCUAGUACAGUGUAGUGACGCAACACAAGGUGCCUCUGCGUUGCCUGUUGAUGUGAGGUAUUGCCUAUGUACUCAGACCUUGGGCUCCAUCAACACGUCGUUAAGUGGAGGCCUUAAGUCUAACGGGGUAUGAUUACCUUAUUCCCACCCGUCCCACUACCAUUGAUGAUGACACGUUGCACACUCCUUCCACUUCAGGUUCUCAUCACAGAGUUAGUUCUUCACGAGGUUCUAGUAGAGGUUCAUCAAGAGGAUCUGGUCGUUUAUCUAGUCGAGGUCGAUCCUUGGAAUCUUCAUCACCCUCUACAGGCACUAUGUCGUCAUUUGUUCCCUCAGGGCCUGUGUUCACUCCUUCAUAUCCAUUGCCUCCUAACCGGAUCUUGACGUAUCAACGUGCUAGUCAGCAACGAGCGCCUCCUCUUGAAGUCAUCAAAGAGGCUGAGGAGUCCACAUCGACCUUUACAACCGAUGUACGCACCAAACGGGGUCGGGGAGUCUAGAUUAGUUGACUUGGGAUGUUUGUUGUACAUAUUCAACUUACGUAUUAUUUUGGAUGGUCGUUAUGUAAUAUAUAUGCGCUCUUUUCAUUUGUCAUGAGUACUGGAGGAGCUUGUUGGUUCAUUUGUUAUGUAAUAUGAAGUAUUAAAUUAUUUUAAU
Amaranthus tricolor (Joseph's coat) is the source of this 6353-nucleotide RNA transcript. RefSeq lists it as uncharacterized. Lineage: Eukaryota; Viridiplantae; Streptophyta; Magnoliopsida; Caryophyllales; Amaranthaceae. The record is from RefSeq and is a predicted model, not a curated record. The transcript is spliced from 6 exons.